RNAcentral lists this long non-coding RNA (190 nucleotides) under Gorilla gorilla gorilla (western lowland gorilla). RNAcentral's name for it is "lncRNA (ENSGGOG00000044621.1)". Lineage: Eukaryota; Metazoa; Chordata; Mammalia; Primates; Hominidae. The record is from RNAcentral.
UGUUAUGCUCCCAACUUCUGCCUCUGAGCACUUAGAGAAUGCCGUAUAUGUAGUAGCACUUUUCGAAGAAGGAAGAAAGGUGGGAGUCAUUUCCAGGGUAAUUUUGACAAGAGGAACUGUCAUUAUGAACAUGGUGGGUAUGAACUUCUGCCUUCACACUGCCAGGAGAAUGAUGGAAGCAUGGAGAUGA